Molecule: non-coding RNA, 316 nt
Organism: Neolamprologus brichardi
Lineage: Eukaryota; Metazoa; Chordata; Actinopteri; Cichliformes; Cichlidae
Source: RefSeq, a predicted model, not a curated record
UGUCCAACGGCCUUCGGGGCUCUGCCACGUUACCACGCAGCACGGGCCCUACCAGGGAGGAAAGGCUCAUCAAGUUCUCAGGAAUUGGCCCAGUGGAUGAGACUGGGAUGCCCAUUGCUUCAAGAUCAAGUGUGAACAAACCCAAAGACUGGUACAAGAGCAUGUUCAGGCAGAUUCACAAGAAGCCAGAAGAACCUGAGCUGGAGCCUUCAGAGAAGUGGUCAGCUGAAAGGAUGCAGUUGUCUGCCAACACAGAAGAAAGUAAUGAAGCAGACAACCUCUUCAGACUAACACCUCAUGGAGCUCUACCAGACUG